RNA transcript from Mandrillus leucophaeus (drill), 462 nucleotides. It is a transcript of the gene named ribosomal protein S27, with no coding region annotated. Lineage: Eukaryota; Metazoa; Chordata; Mammalia; Primates; Cercopithecidae. The record is from RefSeq and is a predicted model, not a curated record. The transcript has 5 exons.
CGGCGGUGACGACCUACCCACACGAGAACAUGCCUGACAUUAACUCCAGGGACCGCAGCGGCCCACGGGCCACCCGCAUAGACGGGAGCGGAGAGGAGAUAAGAUGGCGGCCCAGCUGCGCAGACACCAGGGGCAGCGAGGGGCGAGCUCUCCCCGCUCGCAAAGGAUCUCCUUCAUCCCUCCCCAGAAGAGGAGAAGAGGAAACACAAGAAGAAACGCCUGGUGCAGAGCCCCAAUUCCUACUUCAUGGAUGUGAAAUGCCCAGGAUGCUAUAAAAUCACCACGGUUUUUAGCCAUGCACAAACGGUAGUUUUGUGUGUGGGCUGCUCCACUGUCCUCUGCCAGCCUACAGGAGGAAAAGCAAGGCUUACAGAAGGAUGUUCCUUUAGGAGGAAGCAGCACUAAAGGCACUCUGAAUCAAGAUGAGUGGGAAACCAUCUCAAUAAACACAUUUUGGAUAAA